This 478-nucleotide ribosomal RNA is filed under the name uncultured bacterium. RNAcentral's name for it is "partial 16S ribosomal RNA". It matches the Rfam family "Bacterial small subunit ribosomal RNA", at positions 28 to 507 of the family's 1533-position model. The record is from RNAcentral.
GACGAACGCUGGCGGCGUGCUUAACACAUGCAAGUCGAACGGGAUUUAGUAAACGGAAGCCUCGGUGGAAGAUUACUAAUGAGAGUGGCGAACGGGUGAGUAACGCGUGAGCAACCUGCCUAUGACAGUGGGAUAGCCUCGGGAAACCGGGAUUAAUACCGCAUAAAAUCGUAGAAACACAUGUUUCAACGGUCAAAGAUUUAUCGGUCAUAGAUGGGCUCGCGUCUGAUUAGCUAGUUGGUGAGAUAACAGCCCACCAAGGCGACGAUCAGUAGCCGGUAUGAGAGGAUGGGCCGACACAUUGGAACGGAGACACGGUCCAAACUCCUACGGGAGGGAGCAGUGGGGAAUAUUGCAAAAUGGGGGAAAUCCUGAUGCAGCGACGCCGCGUGAACGAAGAAGGUAGUCGUAUCGUAAAGUUCUGUCCUAUGGGAAGAUAAUGACAGUACCAUAGAAGAAAGCGCCGGCUAAAUACGUG